GGAGACGUGGCCGAGUGGUCGAAGGCGCUCCCCUGCUAAGGGAGUAGGCUCGUGAGGGUCUCGUGGGUUCGAAUCCCAUCGUCUCCGCCA
Molecule: transfer RNA, 90 nt
Filed under: Pontibaca salina
Lineage: Bacteria; Pseudomonadati; Pseudomonadota; Alphaproteobacteria; Rhodobacterales; Roseobacteraceae
Description: tRNA-Ser
Rfam family: tRNA
About the family: Transfer RNA (tRNA) molecules are approximately 80 nucleotides in length.
Source: RNAcentral